This 82-nucleotide non-coding RNA is filed under the name Clostridium magnum. RNAcentral describes it as "ZTP sequence". It matches the Rfam family "ZMP/ZTP riboswitch aptamer (pfl RNA motif)". From Rfam's summary of the family: Previously known as pfl RNA. ZMP is also known as AICAR. The record is from RNAcentral. Lineage: Bacteria; Bacillati; Bacillota; Clostridia; Eubacteriales; Clostridiaceae. RNAcentral also lists the same sequence under 1 other name.
AAAUAAUCAUGUAACUGGCGGAAAUGGAGAUUACCAUAGGGAGCAUGAUUUAAGAAUGCUAUCGACCGCCUGGGUAAAUAAU